AGCUGGUCCGAAGGUAGUGAGUUAUCUCAAUUGAUUGUUCACAGUCAGUUACAGAUUGAACUCCUUGUUCUACUCUUUCCCCCCUUCUCACUACUACACUUGACUAGUCUUUA
This 113-nucleotide Y RNA is filed under the name Saimiri boliviensis boliviensis (Bolivian squirrel monkey). RNAcentral's name for it is "Y RNA (ENSSBOG00000004042.1)". It matches the Rfam family "Y RNA". Rfam says of the family: Y RNAs are components of the Ro ribonucleoprotein particle (Ro RNP), in association with Ro60 and La proteins. The Y RNAs and Ro60 and La proteins are well conserved, but the function of the Ro RNP is not known. The record is from Rfam by way of RNAcentral. Lineage: Eukaryota; Metazoa; Chordata; Mammalia; Primates; Cebidae.